This 254-nucleotide ribosomal RNA is filed under the name uncultured bacterium. Its description in RNAcentral is "partial 16S ribosomal RNA". It matches the Rfam family "Bacterial small subunit ribosomal RNA", at positions 524 to 776 of the family's 1533-position model. The record is from RNAcentral.
UACGUAGGGUGCGAGCGUUAAUCGGAAUUACUGGGCGUAAAGCGUGCGCAGGCGGUUAUUUAAGUCAGGUGUGAAAGCCCUGGGCUUAACCUAGGAAUUGCGCUUGAGACUGGAUAGCUUGGAGUGCGGCAGAGGGAGGUGGAAUUCCACGUGUAGCAGUGAAAUGCGUAGAGAUGUGGAGGAACACCGAUGGCGAAGGCAGCCUCCUGGGCCAGCACUGACGCUCAUGCACGAAGGCGUGGGGAGCAAACAGG